GAGGCUGCAAGCAUUAGCCUCUGGCCGAGCAAACCAACUGCGUCGAGAACAAAAACCCACCUUUUUUUUUGUCAUCCGCACAAACGCUAGUUACAUCAGGUAAAAUACAUUCCAUUUCCAGAUCAUUUAUUUCUAUUUUUGCUCCAGCAAUUUACUUAUACAUUGCACUUAACCGUCAUUUAAUAAAAAAAGAUGUGUAAUAACUUGUGAAGUCUGCAAAUCAAUAAUGGGUUAACAGCAGUCAUACUCAGGGAAGGAGCUGAUAUAUUAAUGCCAGGGAAUUUUUUUUGUUUAGUUUAGAGAUACAGUGCAAACAG
This is a long non-coding RNA of Amblyraja radiata (thorny skate), 317 nucleotides long. RefSeq lists it as uncharacterized. The record is from RefSeq and is a predicted model, not a curated record. NCBI's taxonomy places the organism in Eukaryota, Metazoa, Chordata, Chondrichthyes, Rajiformes, Rajidae. The transcript has 3 exons.